This 497-nucleotide ribosomal RNA is filed under the name uncultured bacterium. Its description in RNAcentral is "partial 16S ribosomal RNA". It matches the Rfam family "Bacterial small subunit ribosomal RNA", at positions 899 to 1397 of the family's 1533-position model. The record is from RNAcentral.
ACUCAAAGGAAUUGACGGGGGCCCGCACAAGCGGUGGAGCAUGUGGUUCAAUUCGAUGCAACGCGAAAAACCUUACCUGGGUUUGAAGUGCUAGUGAAUGUGGUAGAGAUAUCACAGGCCUUCGGGACACUAGUAUCAGGUGCUGCAUGGCUGUCGUCAGCUCGUGUCGUGAGAUGUCGGGUUAAGUCCCAUAACGAGCGCAACCCCUAUAUUUAGUUGCCAGCAUUAAGUUGGGCACUCUAGAUAGACUGCCGGCGUUAAGCCGGAGGAAGGCGGGGAUGACGUCAAGUCCUCAUGGCCUUUAUGUCCAGGGCUACACACGUGCUACAAUGGUCGGUACAAAGGGAUGCAAGACCGCGAGGUGGAGCAAAUCCCAAAAAACCGAUCUAAGUUCGGAUAGGAGUCUGCAACUCGACUCCUUGAAGCUGGAAUCGCUAGUAAUCGUGGAUCAGCAUGCCACGGUGAAUACGUUCCCGGGCCUUGUACACACCGCCCGU